Molecule: long non-coding RNA, 572 nt
Organism: Zophobas morio
Lineage: Eukaryota; Metazoa; Arthropoda; Insecta; Coleoptera; Tenebrionidae
Exons: 4
Source: RefSeq, a predicted model, not a curated record
UAUUUACUCUUCUAGCGAUAGUGACUCAGACGAUGAGCAAGUUAUUAAUUUUGUUGUCCGCUUGGGACGAAUUCGCAAAGUUCCUAGAAUACAGAUACGAAAGGACCAUUUUAAUUACUGGGACGACCAAGAAUUUUAUUGUAGGUUCAGACUGUCAAAAGAAUCUGUAACAAAUUUGAUACAUUCAAUUCAUGAUGUCAUAAAGCAUCCGACAAAUUGGAAUCACGCUCUUACAUCAAUGGAAAUGUUGUUAAUUACACUCCGAUUUUUCGCGACAGGCAGUUUCUUAAUUGUAAUUGGAGAUUUUGGAGGUGUUCACAAGAGUACUGUGGGAAAAGCAAUAAACAGAGUUACAAGAGCUAUUGCAAAUUUGCGGGAAGAAUACAUAAAAUUUCCUCAAACAGGAGAAGAAAUCUCUAUAGUGCAACAAGGUUUUUAUCAACUUGCAAGAUUCCCACGAGUUGUUGGUGCUUUAGAUUGCACACAUAUCAAAAUAAAGUCACCGGGUGGAGAAAAUGCUGAAAUUUAUCGCAAUCGGAAAAAUUUUUUCUCCCUGAAUGUGCAAACAAUUG